This 20-nucleotide microRNA is filed under the name Oryza sativa (Asian cultivated rice). RNAcentral describes it as "osa-miR435". Its record names the gene osa-miR435. RNAcentral also lists the same sequence under 1 other name. The record is from miRBase by way of RNAcentral. Lineage: Eukaryota; Viridiplantae; Streptophyta; Magnoliopsida; Poales; Poaceae.
UUAUCCGGUAUUGGAGUUGA